This 72-nucleotide transfer RNA is filed under the name bacterium. RNAcentral's name for it is "tRNA-Ser". RNAcentral also lists the same sequence under 2 other names. The record is from RNAcentral.
GCGGGUGGCAGUGAAAACUGUAGUGGUAAGCUAAGCCGUAGGUUAGAGGUUCGAGUCCUCUCGGGCGCACCA